RNAcentral lists this transfer-messenger RNA (464 nucleotides) under Patescibacteria group bacterium. It matches the Rfam family "transfer-messenger RNA". From Rfam's summary of the family: Bacterial tmRNA, also known as 10Sa RNA or SsrA, is named for its dual tRNA and mRNA-like properties. The record is from RNAcentral.
GGGGGUGACCGGCUUUGACGGUCUGUUCCUUGAAAGACGUGCGACGCAGUGCACGCUCGUAUGACACUCCAAAUCCAACGAGCACCCAAACUUGCCAAGAACACUCUUGCAAGCGUGAAGUCCCCGUACUUCGGUAUGCGUGACUUCGCGUUCGCGUACGCGGCAGCCUAACGGCUCUUCGCCUGCGCGACGUUCAUCCUCCCUGGUUUCUGCAGCAGGAGGGAUGGGCGGAAUUAUCUGCAGAAUAUGCUGCCGGGCACCCUUCCUGGCAAAAGAAUGGCUAAAACAUUUGCUUUGCAAAUGUUCGCCCGAACAUGCCGAAAGGCAUGUUCUAGGGGAUCGGGCAGGAGUGGUUUCGUCUGCGUUCCUCGCACCCUGCCUCAGACACUAACGCUGACUAUGCGUCGUAGACUCGCUUUCAUAGACGGAUUCGGACUCGAGUUCGACUCUCGACACCUCCACCA